Felis catus (domestic cat) is the source of this 85-nucleotide transfer RNA. It matches the Rfam family "tRNA". From Rfam's summary of the family: Transfer RNA (tRNA) molecules are approximately 80 nucleotides in length. The record is from Rfam. NCBI's taxonomy places the organism in Eukaryota, Metazoa, Chordata, Mammalia, Carnivora, Felidae.
GCCUGGGUGGCUCAGUCAGUUAAGUGUCUGACUUUGGCUCAGGUUAUGAUCCCACAGUUUGUGAGUUCAAGUCCCACAUCAGGCU